AAUACAUGCAAGUCGAGCGAACAGAUAAGGAGCUUGCUCCUUUGACGUUAGCGGCGGACGGGUGAGUAACACGUGGGUAACCUACCUAUAAGACUGGGAUAACUUCGGGAAACCGGAGCUAAUACCGGAUAACAUUUGGAACCGCAUGGUUCUAAAGUGAAAGAUGGUUUUGCUAUCACUUAUAGAUGGACCCGCGCCGUAUUAGCUAGUUGGUAAGGUAACGGCUUACCAAGGCGACGAUACGUAGCCGACCUGAGAGGGUGAUCGGCCACACUGGAACUGAGACACGGUCCAGACUCCUACGGGAGGCAGCAGUAGGGAAUCUUCCGCAAUGGGCGAAAGCCUGACGGAGCAACGCCGCGUGAGUGAUGAAGGGUUUCGGCUCGUAAAACUCUGUUAUUAGGGAAGAACAAACGUGUAAGUAACUGUGCACGUCUUGACGGUACCUAAUCAGAAAGCCACGGCUAACUACGUGCCAGCAGCCGCGGUAAUACGUAGGUGGCAAGCGUUAUCCGGAAUUAUUGGGCGUAAAGCGCGCGUAGGCGGUUUCUUAAGUCUGAUGUGAAAGCCCACGGCUCAACCGUGGAGGGUCAUUGGAAACUGGGAAACUUGAGUGCAGAAGAGGAAAGUGGAAUUCCAUGUGUAGCGGUGAAAUGCGCAGAGAUAUGGAGGAACACCAGUGGCGAAGGCGACUUUCUGGUCUGUAACUGACGCUGAUGUGCGAAAGCGUGGGGAUCAAACAGGAUUAGAUACCCUGGUAGUCCACGCCGUAAACGAUGAGUGCUAAGUGUUAGGGGGUUUCCGCCCCUUAGUGCUGCAGCUAACGCAUUAAGCACUCCGCCUGGGGAGUACGACCGCAAGGUUGAAACUCAAAGGAAUUGACGGGGACCCGCACAAGCGGUGGAGCAUGUGGUUUAAUUCGAAGCAACGCGAAGAACCUUACCAAAUCUUGACAUCCUUUGAAAACUCUAGAGAUAGAGCCUUCCCCUUCGGGGGACAAAGUGACAGGUGGUGCAUGGUUGUCGUCAGCUCGUGUCGUGAGAUGUUGGGUUAAGUCCCGCAACGAGCGCAACCCUUAAGCUUAGUUGCCAUCAUUAAGUUGGGCACUCUAGGUUGACUGCCGGUGACAAACCGGAGGAAGGUGGGGAUGACGUCAAAUCAUCAUGCCCCUUAUGAUUUGGGCUACACACGUGCUACAAUGGACAAUACAAAGGGCAGCUAAACCGCGAGGUCAUGCAAAUCCCAUAAAGUUGUUCUCAGUUCGGAUUGUAGUCUGCAACUCGACUACAUGAAGCUGGAAUCGCUAGUAAUCGUAGAUCAGCAUGGUACGGUGAAUACGUUCCCGGGUCUUGUACACACCGCCCGUCACACCACGAGAGUUUGUAACACCCGAAGCCGGUGGAGUAACCAUUUAUGGAGCUAGCCGUCGAAGGUGGGAC
This is a ribosomal RNA of 1439 nucleotides. It matches the Rfam family "Bacterial small subunit ribosomal RNA".